RNAcentral lists this long non-coding RNA (443 nucleotides) under Numida meleagris (helmeted guineafowl). RNAcentral describes it as "lncRNA (ENSNMEG00000003478.1)". Lineage: Eukaryota; Metazoa; Chordata; Aves; Galliformes; Numididae. The record is from RNAcentral.
CCAUGAAAGUACACAACCACCUUAAGAUCCCUGCACAAGGGCACUGGCAUCUGAGCUUUACUCCUUUGCAUUUCUCCCUCACAGAAGAUUUGGGAUCAUGCCAAAGACCAUCUAGACUAUAGUCACUCUGGCACUUGGAUCAAGUAAAACACUCAGUAUCUCCCCCAGAAACCUCUGUUGGCACUCCAAGGAAAACCGUCUGCAACACCCUAGGUCAGGAUGUUACUGUAUGUUGGACACAGAACGGCCAUGUAGGAGUUACUCUUCAGAGUCUAGGAAUAUCCCUUGUCAACACAAACUACAGGUUAAGCUAUUUGCUUUCAGCUCUCAUCGAGACAAGGAUCUUCCUUCCUCAUUUCAGAGAGAUUUGUAAUGAUGCACAGUGCCAGGAAUCACUGAACAAAACAUACAGAUUUAACUCAAAAAGAAAAGAGACUUCUUAU